This 637-nucleotide ribosomal RNA is filed under the name Escherichia coli. RNAcentral's name for it is "partial 23S ribosomal RNA". It matches the Rfam family "Bacterial large subunit ribosomal RNA", at positions 762 to 1396 of the family's 2925-position model. The record is from RNAcentral. Lineage: Bacteria; Pseudomonadati; Pseudomonadota; Gammaproteobacteria; Enterobacterales; Enterobacteriaceae.
CUAACUGGAGGACCGAACCGACUAAUGUUGAAAAAUUAGCGGAUGACUUGUGGCUGGGGGUGAAAGGCCAAUCAAACCGGGAGAUAGCUGGUUCUCCCCGAAAGCUAUUUAGGUAGCGCCUCGUGAAUUCAUCUCCGGGGGUAGAGCACUGUUUCGGCAAGGGGGUCAUCCCGACUUACCAACCCGAUGCAAACUGCGAAUACCGGAGAAUGUUAUCACGGGAGACACACGGCGGGUGCUAACGUCCGUCGUGAAGAGGGAAACAACCCAGACCGCCAGCUAAGGUCCCAAAGUCAUGGUUAAGUGGGAAACGAUGUGGGAAGGCCCAGACAGCCAGGAUGUUGGCUUAGAAGCAGCCAUCAUUUAAAGAAAGCGUAAUAGCUCACUGGUCGAGUCGGCCUGCGCGGAAGAUGUAACGGGGCUAAACCAUGCACCGAAGCUGCGGCAGCGACACUAUGUGUUGUUGGGUAGGGGAGCGUUCUGUAAGCCUGUGAAGGUGUACUGUGAGGUAUGCUGGAGGUAUCAGAAGUGCGAAUGCUGACAUAAGUAACGAUAAAGCGGGUGAAAAGCCCGCUCGCCGGAAGACCAAGGGUUCCUGUCCAACGUUAAUCGGGGCAGGGUGAGUCGACCCCUAAGG